AUUGAACGCUGGCGGCAGGCCUAACACAUGCAAGUCGAGCGAGCGGCGGAAGGGUGAGUAAUGUCUGGGAAACUGCCUGAGGGAGGGGGAUAACAACUGGAAACGGUAGCUAAUACCGCAUACCAUCAAAGGUGACCAGGUGGUAUUAGAGAGUAGGUGGGGUAACGGCGACCCUAGGCGACGAUCCCUAGCUGGUCUGCGAGGAGGACCAGCCACACUGGAAAUGAGACACGGUCCAGACUCCUACGGGAGGGAGCAGUUGGGAAUAUUGCACAAUGGGCUCAAGCCUGAUGCAGCCAUGCCGCGUGUGUGAAGAAGGCCUUCGGGUUGUAAAGCACUUUCAGCGGGGAGGCGUUACCCGCAGAAGAAGCACCGGCUAACUCCGUGCCAGCCGCCGCGGUAAUAC
This 406-nucleotide ribosomal RNA is filed under the name uncultured bacterium. RNAcentral's name for it is "partial 16S ribosomal RNA". It matches the Rfam family "Bacterial small subunit ribosomal RNA", at positions 29 to 526 of the family's 1533-position model. The record is from RNAcentral.